Long non-coding RNA from Vicia villosa (hairy vetch), 2992 nucleotides. RefSeq lists it as uncharacterized. Lineage: Eukaryota; Viridiplantae; Streptophyta; Magnoliopsida; Fabales; Fabaceae. The transcript is spliced from 4 exons. The record is from RefSeq and is a predicted model, not a curated record.
ACUAAUCUCAACCCCACCACAGAAUUCAGCCUCCCUCAUCAAAUUCAUCCUCUUCUUCCUUCCCCAAAGAUUCUCUUACUUUUCAUACUCAAUAAUCUUAUUCGUUCUCUUAAACUCAGUCUCUAUUUAAGAAUACAGAAACCCUAAUUCAAUUCUCACGAAAGAAAUAACAAGGGAUCCUUCUACAACCGGGACCAACAUUUCCUAUGUGUUUGACUAUUUUCCAGCUCAUAGUGUUGAAACAUUUAGGAAUUAGCUAGUUGUUCGAGGGACUGUCUCAAAAUCGGUUAGCGGAUGGUUGCAUAAUACCUCUGAAUGAUGUAGAUGAUUGUUGAGAAAUGUAUCAUAUAUAGAGCAAGAUGAUCAUAAUGUAUUGGUUUGAUGUCUCUGAUGUGACUGUCUUCAAGUUGUUCAGAACAAACAGGGUGUUUCAGACUCGACUGAUGGAUCGCUGGGUGGUGCCUCAUAAUCGCCUUGUUGAUUAUUGUCUGAGACAUCAACUUUUUUCGACUGUUUGUUGGGUAGUGAUUAUUAGGAGGUUCUAUAGUGCCCUUCCAUUUUGAAAAUUAUGUAUAUAGAAAGACAAUCAAAAUCAAAGAUGCUGCAUCACUUACUCUGAAGCACAAUUUCUGGAGUCUGCAUCACUUACUCUGAAGCACAAUUUCUCAUGUAUUUUCAAUUUCAAGGAAUAACAGCUUUUGAAGGGGUUGAUUCAGGCAUGUCUCUUGGGGGAAUUUGAAGGUGUUGCAUCUAUAUUUCUAAAGAAAUUGACAUAUAGUAUGCAUGAGAUGUGCUACGACAUUCUCGGGCCAGCUAGCUUUGGAGUUUGUACCAAGGAACCAAGGGUUGAUAGACAAGACUCACUUAUUUGAUAUUUGAGCUAAUGAAGAUUAUUCCAAACUACUUUGUCAAACUCUGUAUUGACCCUUGAAUACCACCACCAAAUCAUUGAGAUUUGUAAGAGCUAGACCUCGAACAUGGUAUUUUAUGGUUUUCUGUUUGCUAAUUGAGGUUAAAAGUAGUCCAGUCACAAGUGUUGCCAAACCUUCAUAUUUCACUUGGAGUACAUGGAGAAGUAAGGCAUUUUCUUGGUUAGGUAUUUAUAUCUACACAUAUUUGUUAACCACACUUCAAAGGAUUUCGUUUGGAUGAGCAUAAUCACUUUGAGAUUUUUCAAUUUGCGAUGACACGAUUUUGGUUGGUGAGGAUUCUUGGAACAAUCUUUGGACUUUUAAGGCCAUUCUUAGAGGUUUCGAAUUUGUUUCCGGAUUGCGUGUAAAUUUGAAUAAGAGUAGACUUUUUGGUGUGAAUCUUGACCCGGGGUUUAUCCAAGCCGGAGCUUCUUUCCUAAAUUGUGAGAUUGGUUUGUCUUCCUUUGUUUUCCUUGGUAUACCGGUCGGAAUAAAUCCUAGAAGAUGUGACAUGUGGAGACCGCUUGUUUCAAGAUUAAGAAGGAGAAUUGGAAGUUGGCAUAAUAGACAACUUUCGAUUGGCGGGAGGGUCGUUCUUUUGAAUUCCAUUUUAGCUAGCAUGCCAAUUUUUCUUUUAUCCUUUUAUAAGGCUCCGAAGACCAUCAUUAACGAAAUCAUUGCGAUCCAACGGUGUAGAAGAUAAGAAGAAGGUUAAUUGGAUUAGUUGGGAUACCGUGUGUCUUCCAAAAAAAGAAGGAGGACUUGGUGUGAAACAUUGUGGAAAGUUUAAUAAUGCGCUUCUUAGCAAAUGGAAGUGGCGUAUUUUGAACACGGAGAAUUCUUUUUGGACUAACAUUCUUUUUUGUAGGUAUGGAGAUAUUCAAAGAGCAAUGCUAAAGGAACCUCUGUAUCAUUCCCGUGAUAAAGUUUCACUUUGGUGGAAAGACCUUUGUUCGGUUGGUUGUGCGACAUUGGAUUCACCGCUAAAUUGGUUCAAAUCUUCCAUCUCUUACAAACUUGGUAAUGGCAUUUCUUUGGAAUUUUGGUUUGACACUUGGUUAGGCACAACACCUCUUGGUAUUCUUUUUCCGGAUUUACUUUCCUUAUCGAAUGAUCCGCAUGCAAAGGUGGCCGAUAUGGGUAGUUGGGAUGGAGAAAUUUGGAAUUGGUCUUUUGGCAUUUUCUGUAUUCGGAGGACAGGGCAGCCGCGACAAAUUUGGUUGAGUUGGUGAUUCUUCUCGCGCCGGUUCAGCCACAUCAUUCGGUGGAAGACUCUUUUGUGUGGUGGAGAAAUCCUUCCGGAUUCACGGUGAGUAAUGCGUAUGAUACCAUCUUGUUACUUGAGUCUCGGAGAGCUCCUUUGAAUAGCUCGAUAUCUCUAGCUUUCUCUCGUUUAUGGAAGACAAAGGUUCCGAGUCGCAUUCAUCUUUUUGGUUGGGGAUUGGUUUGGAAUAGACUUGCUUCAAAAGCGGAAUUGGCAAAGCGUGGAAUUUUGUUAGAUCAUAAUUUGUGGAUGUGUUCCUUAUGUGGUCGAUUUCAAGAGGAUUUGGAACAUCUUUUUGUUCAUUGUGAUAUAGCUAGAGAUUGGUGGAAUAAAUUGCUUCUUUGGCUUCGUUUGGAUGAUAUCACUUCGGCCGGGACUAUUUUGGAGCGGAUUGCUUGCUUGGAGAUUUCUUGUAAGGUACAUAUUCACUUAGAUGUGGGUUAUUUUUUGGUUUAAUUUUUUGUUGGGUUAUAUGGAAGUGUAGGAACGAAGUCAUUUUCAAAGGGACAAUUGUAUCAAAUUUUGAUGGGAUGGGGUUUAUCAGAUUCAUUGCUUGGGAAUGGUUCAUGUCUUUUUUUAAAGUGAAUGACACUUUUCUUUGGUCGGAUUGGUGUGUUGAUCCGAGACCAUUUUUUAGAUAGGUGGUUUUGGUUGUCCUUGAUCCGGUUGCAUCCGACGGGGAAUCCUACCAUUCUUUUCUUUUCUUCCUUUCUUUUUGUUCUUUUGGUUGUGGAUUAAGCACCCCUAGUGCUUGUUAAUAUAUCCCUUUGCUUAUAAAAAAAAUAUUCUAAUGUGAAGUCUCUUAACCUUGGUUGAA